This 440-nucleotide ribosomal RNA is filed under the name uncultured bacterium. RNAcentral's name for it is "partial 16S ribosomal RNA". It matches the Rfam family "Bacterial small subunit ribosomal RNA", at positions 338 to 794 of the family's 1533-position model. The record is from RNAcentral.
CCUACGGGAGGCAGCAGUGAGGGAUAUUGCGCAAUGGGCGAAAGCCUGACGCAGCGACGCCGCGUGGGCGAGGAAGGCCUUCGGGUUGUAAAGCCCUUUUGGCAGGGAAGAGCAAGGACUGUACCUGCAGAACAAGUCACGGCUAACUACGUGCCAGCAGCCGCGGUAAAACGUAGGUGGCGAGCGUUGUCCGGAUUUAUUGGGCGUAAAGAGUGCGUAGGCGGCUUCUUAAGUGGGGCGUGAAAUCCCCCGGCUAAACCGGGGAGGGUCGUCCUAAACUGGGGGGCUUGAGGGUAGAAGAAGAGAGCGAAAUUCCCGGUGUAGUGGUAAAAUCCGUAGAUAUUGGGAGGAACACCGGUGGCGAAGGCGGCUCUCGGGACCGAUACUGACGCUGAGACGCGAAAGCGUGGGGAGCAAACAGGAUUAGAUCCCCGGGUAUU